CUGUGCAAAGGUAGCAUAAUCAAUAGUUUUUUAAUUGAAAGCUGGAAUGAAAGGUUUAAUGAAAAAAUUACUGUCUCAAUAUUAAUAAUAGAAUUUUAUUUUUAAGUAAAAAAGCUUAAAUUUUUUAAAAAGACGAGAAGACCCUAUAGAGUUUAAUAAAUUAAUAGUAGUAUUAUUUGUUUUUAAAAAUUGUAUUAUUGUAAAGUUUGUUUUAUUGGGGUGAUAUAAAAAUUUAAAUAACUUUUUAUUUAUUUUUACAUUGAUUAAUGAAUAAUUGAGCCUAAAUUUUAGAUUAAAAGAAAAAAUUACCUUAGGGAUAACAGCGUAAUUUUUUUUGAGAGUUCUUAUCGAAAAAAAAGUUUGCGACCUCGAUGUUGGAUUAAAAUUAAGUUUUGGUGUAGAAGCUGAAAAUUUAAGUCUGUUCGACUUUUAAAAUU
Molecule: ribosomal RNA, 437 nt
Filed under: Hyperopselaphus ikedai
Lineage: Eukaryota; Metazoa; Arthropoda; Insecta; Coleoptera; Oedemeridae
Description: partial 16S ribosomal RNA
Rfam family: Bacterial large subunit ribosomal RNA (bases 316-437)
Source: RNAcentral